Molecule: long non-coding RNA, 3622 nt
Organism: Patiria miniata (bat star)
Lineage: Eukaryota; Metazoa; Echinodermata; Asteroidea; Valvatida; Asterinidae
Exons: 6
Source: RefSeq, a predicted model, not a curated record
GCAACGUCAUCACGACCGAGAGACAACGCCCGUUGAGCUGAGUCCAUCAUGGCCGUUAAACAAAUUUCGGAUUUUGUCCGAUCAAACUGAACCGCAAAUUUGGUUUAAGCCUUAACGGGGCAUCGCAUCUUAUUUUGCUGGCAAAAUUGAACAUUUCGCCAUAUUGUGCUCUGCUUUAUGGACUUCACUGUGACCUGCGACACCAUCCAAGCGAACAAAGAACUUGAAGCGUCAGUAGGCGGUGUGAAACGGCCCAGCGCGGCGAGGACAUCCAUUGUGAUGGUUGCAUUUCCUCCAAACAGCCUCCAAAAUUUCUGCAAAUUUGUCUACCAAUUCCUUGCCAUUUGACGUUAAUUAAUCCAUCUGCUUAAUCUAGGAUUCUUCUCCAAACCCUGAGAAAAAUGUGGUAUCCGUAAAUCGUUGUAGGAUACAUAUUUUCCUAAAUCCAAACGCGGGUUUCCUCUGUGUGAAGUUCACGGGUAAUUUAUUCAGCUGAGCGGUUUGUUUUGUCAGCGCAACACGGACCGGUCGACGCGGAAACCUCCCCACGGAACCAGCCACCAACUGGGGGAAGUGACGAGCCAAUACGGACUCUAGUCUCCAUUCACUCAAAUUUCGCCCAGAAACACUGCCGUGCAGAACAGUAAUGGCGUCAGAUAUGCAAGAGAAUCGCAGUAAUUCUGACUAUCUUUUAGACUUCAAGUGGCCGGACAAAAGCAGCAAGAAGCAUCCGUAUUCAUGUGGCUUCUCCGGGAGUCGUCUCCGCCUCGUAGAAUUCUCGGAAAGACGUGAUGACUGCCUCAUGCAAACAGAAUCAACGAGACACAUUUGGAUCGGAAGCCAGUUUCAGAGGCCCCCUUACGGCGCAAUCUUGACGGGCAGCCUCUGUAGUCAUCAUCAAGGGACAGCACGAAACACAUGAUGACAACCUGAACUACUUAUUUUUUAAAAUGUUUUUGCGACCUGAUGUUUAUGCAAACCUUAUGGUGCGAUCGUAUAAAAAUGCAAAUUUCGCAAAUGGCUUUGAGCUAAACUUCUUUCCCGCAGUGUCUGCCAGUAGAACGCCAUCACAAUUUCAAUCAAAGCUAAAUAGGGUCGAAAAACAAUUAAAGAAAAGAGGUCUUGAAGGUUUUGGUCUUUAAUGUCGAAAAGGCAGAAGAGAGAUAGGGCAAUGAGUACCUAAUCCGGGGAGUAUUUUCAUCUAGCGGACACGCGCAGGCCACGUGCCGUGCUCUGGUCCAGAUGCCCCCGUUGGCACUUCGAGGAAAGCACUCGUCCGGUGUUUCUUUUGUGUGUAGACUCUGGACGGAAUAACCCUGAAUAAAUCUUGCAAUUAAUAAUUGAUUAGGCUGCUCAAGCCACGUUUAAUACAAACGAUCUAUUGAUCUUUUUAGGUCAUUCGUUCACAGUUUACAAAAUCAGAAUGUUUGAGCAGCGAAUUUCACCAUUUCGAACUGGCCGAUAUGAUAAUUUUAUUUGAUGUACGAAAUUCUUUUGUUUGGACGCUGAUAACUUUGGAUUCGUUUUCCCUAAUUAUCUUUCUUUUCCAUCAUGAUCUAUUUCUUGUUAAAAAAAGGAUUGACUUGAAUCACACAAUAAGUUGGAAUUAAAUACGGACUAAUGACACUAGAGAUUAUUACAUAAUAGCGCACGUGCAGUGGACUAUAUUGGUACAGACCAAUAGGUAUAAUUGCUAGCGGCUUUUCCCGGGCAGAGAUCGCUUAAAAACUGAGACAAAAUCUUUGUAUUUAAAUGAUGCAUUUUUAUGUUUGUACUCAAUGGAACUUUUCAAGCUGCAUCUGAAGAAAAUAAUUUGAUUGAAGCUGACAUACCUGCCUUGAAGAGAUGAACGCAUACCUUAUGGCAGUUUUCCAUUGAGUGAAACAUACUGCAUGCAUUUAUGUUGUACUUAUUGGAGUAAGCCAAGAUAUCGUCGAACAAACAGUUUUUCUGAGCAUGCUCUGUGCUUCCCUAGUUGUAAAAUGGAGAAAGGCAAAGUUGCGGGUUUUGAUGGAUUUAUAGAAAGUUUUCACAAGAAAAUUGCUGUUUUCACUUGCAAGAAGCACAGAAUAUGUAUGACGAAAGGUGUGCCGAGGUGAGAGAACUCCAUGGUUAUUGGUGAGACAGCUCAAUGCUUCUUGGAAGCUAAAGAUGUUUCCUCCGCAGUACGCUACGGGUAUUGAGCUGCAUUGUCAGGUAGUUCUCAUCAGGCCUGGAUGGGCGGAGGUGGUCCUAAAGAAUCACUGGAAUUCAAGCCAGAAAAGGUGGUACAUUUCUACAUUUUGUUUGCUGGUUUUAACUUGGGGACCCACAUAUUUAGUGUACAUGUAGGUUGUAGUUGUUAUGGAAAGGUCACAGUUGAUAAAGUAAAGUGCAAUUUAGGAUUUGAAAUAAUCAUGCCAUGUAUAUCAUUGAUGACCUUGACCUUGAAAUAUGAUUUUGAUUGAAUUUCACAUGGAUCCUGAACAUUCUUAGACUUCUGAGAAUGUUGAAUUAAUGCAAAAAAAAACAUUCAAAAAGUUUUUAUGUUAAUCGAGACUACACAAAAUGUUUUUAAACUGUGGUGUGGGAGGAAAUCGGGGUUGGGGUAAGAGGGGGAUUAUGUUGAUUAUCAAAACAAGGCUUAUAGUUUUUAAAUAUUUUAAGGAAACGAAGUUUUGAAAACUUGGCAAUAUUUCCAGAAAAAAAUGAGGUCUUUCUAAUAAUGCACCUUCGACAGAUUAAUGUUUAACCUUUUUUUCAAGGCCUGGGCUGUGAACUAUUGUCAGAAAGGGUUGGAUCCGGGGCGUGACAGUGACUAGCGAAGUAAAGUUGGGGUGCAUCUUGUGUGACAACACUCUUGCAAUUUCACGAAUUUUCACGACCUCGAGAAGAGGUGGAUUUUUUUCCACGACCAUGUGAUCCAUCCGUUUGCUCCUGUGGCUCCUGUGGCAUUUUCAAAGGCCAAAUUUGUUUUUCUCCAGAGCUUAAUAUUCAAAGAUGGCUGUAUUCUCAGAGCGUUGACGUUCAAAUGGCGCACAGGGAAUAUUUCCACACAACAGUAACAUGCUAUCAAAAGGUUGCCGCUUAUUAAUCAUUAACCAGGACAUUAUAAUAAAAAACACAUCCACACAAACAAAUAGUCCUCUGCACCACUUUACUGCCUUAUGGGCAUCUCUUUAUCUUUAUUAUUCAAUAUCAGAUUGGAAUGCGACACCUACAGCGUCAAAACUGAAUUAAGGAUUGUACCAUUGAUCUUUGAAAGGAAGCAUUUUCUAAAGGUUUUUGGAGUUUGAAGCUGUUUGCGACAAGUAACAGCGUAAUUGAUUGUAUUAUUGGAGUAUGAAGAUGACGAUUGACGGAAAACAAAUCCUCGAAGUCGAGAAGUGCUGACUGGUACAUCUUAACACUGACUGGCAAAUUGCUGAUGAGAUGGAAACAUUGCAGAGGACUCAGGCUAUUGCCAUGCGACGCGAACCAAAGGUUUUCUUCGAGUCCAUCAUAAAUCUGAAACAAAAUUGAAGGAAAAUGCAAGCUCUAGUAUGCAAACAAAUGAUGUUGAGGUUUACAAAUCCGUUGCCUCAAGUUUGGGAUGAGUUGAUGAAACAGCUUGAGAGGAGGUGAUUGGAGGUCCUUGACAAAU